CCAUGGGGGGAAAUGUUUAGUCUGAUGAAGAGAACCCCGUGAGUCCAGCAUCUUCUCGAGACCACGGCUUCUGGCCAGAGCUUAUUUAAGAGAGCAGAAGUAAAAAGGACUCAUCCAUCAGCUGAUGAAUGUCUGCCGUUUAACUAAGAGUUCCUGCCCAACUGGCCUGGCUCUCAGCCUGGACCAGCGGUGUCUGGGUGAAGGCAAAGACGGAGGACCUGUCCUGUGGUCACGAGUACCAAAGGCAUUGGAGCUACACCCCCAAGGCCAGGAACCUGCCCCAAGGACCUCUCGGGAAGGAGCUGUGUCCAGAGGGUAGUAUAGCCACAAUUGUGGUGGUGGCGGGGAGGGAACCAGAAGAAUUUUCAGAAGACUCACCCAGUAGAGCAGAGCCAGGAGAAUCAGAAAGAAAUGGUCUCAGGGACCUGAGAACAAUGGGGACCCCUGGAACAAACCAUGCCUGAAGCUGGUAAGACUCUCUUUGA
Leopardus geoffroyi (Geoffroy's cat) is the source of this 485-nucleotide long non-coding RNA. RefSeq lists it as uncharacterized. NCBI's taxonomy places the organism in Eukaryota, Metazoa, Chordata, Mammalia, Carnivora, Felidae. The transcript is spliced from 3 exons. The record is from RefSeq and is a predicted model, not a curated record.